GCAAGGUUUUCGUCUUGGUCCUCCGUGCUUCACAUAAGCUCAGAGAAGUUUUCUGCAUGGGCCAAUGGACAGCUCAGAGUCCUGUUGGGAUAACAUGUACGCAAUGACUGUCCCAGACUGCAAGCUGGGAACCAGCACAGAGAUCCAGAAAGGUCACCUGGAGGAGACUUGGCUGGAUGGCCGAUGCCAAGGGCAACCGAAGAUGGGUCUGCAUGUGGCUGACCAUGGGACACCAGUCACUACAAGGGGCACGCGCCUCACACCUUCAUCCCCUGCUCCCAGGCCAUCCCUGGUGUUCUUCUCAAACUUAGGUAAAUGUGGCCUGUGGUCCAGUGGUAAAGGAUCCGCCUUCCAAUGCAGGGGACGUGGGUUCGC
Long non-coding RNA from Eubalaena glacialis (North Atlantic right whale), 375 nucleotides. RefSeq lists it as uncharacterized. The record is from RefSeq and is a predicted model, not a curated record. Lineage: Eukaryota; Metazoa; Chordata; Mammalia; Artiodactyla; Balaenidae. The transcript is spliced from 3 exons.